GACGAACGCUGGCGGCGGGCUUAACACAUGCAAGUCGAACGGAAAGGCCCUGCUUUUGUGGGGUGCUCGAGUGGCGAACGGGUGAGUAACACGGGAGUAACCUGCCCUUGACUUUGGGAUAACUUCAGGAAACUGGGGCUAAUACCGGAUAGGAGCUCCUGCUGCAUGGUGGGGGUUGGAAAGUUUCGGCGGUUGGGGAUGGACUCGCGGCUUAUCAGCUUGUUGGUGGGGUAGUGGCGUACCAAGGCUUUGACGGGUAGCCGGCCUGAGAGGGUGACCGGCCACAUUGGGACUGAGAUACGGCCCAGACUCCUACGGGAGGCAGCAGUGGGGAAUAUUGCACAAUGGGCGGAAGCCUGAUGCAGCAACGCCGCGUGCGGGAUGACGGCCUUCGGGUUGUAAACCGCUUUCGCCUGUGACGAAGCGUGAGUGACGGUAAUGGGUAAAGAAGCACCGGCUAACUACGUG
This 468-nucleotide ribosomal RNA is filed under the name uncultured bacterium. Its description in RNAcentral is "partial 16S ribosomal RNA". It matches the Rfam family "Bacterial small subunit ribosomal RNA", at positions 28 to 507 of the family's 1533-position model. The record is from RNAcentral.